AGUGAACGCUGGCGGCAUGCCUAACACAUGCAAGUCGAACGGCAGCACAGUAAGUGCUUGCUGUUACCGGGGGGCGGACGGGGGCGGAAGACGUAUACACCGGUCCCUACGUUUUGGUUGGGGCUAAGGAAGCGGGACUUAUGCCGAUACCGCACUACACCUAAGAGCGAGGGCACUGGAUCCUUCGACCUUUCGGGUUUGCAUGUGCCGGUGUCGGAUUAGCUAGUUGGGGGGGUAAAGGCCGACCAAGGCGACGAUCCGUAGCUGGUCUGAGAGGAUGAUCAGCCACACUGGAACUGAGACACGGUCCAGACUCCUACGGGAGGCAGCAGUGGGGAAUGUUGGACAAUGGGCGCAAGCCUGAUCCAGCAAUGCCGCGUGUGUGAAGAAGGCCUUCGGGUUGUAAAGCCCUUUUGUUGGGAAAGAAAUGCUUCAGGUUAAUACCCCGCGGGUCUGACGGUACCGGAAGAAUAAGCACCGGCUAACUACGUG
This 492-nucleotide ribosomal RNA is filed under the name uncultured bacterium. RNAcentral describes it as "partial 16S ribosomal RNA". It matches the Rfam family "Bacterial small subunit ribosomal RNA", at positions 29 to 507 of the family's 1533-position model. The record is from RNAcentral.